Molecule: long non-coding RNA, 527 nt
Organism: Dendrobium catenatum
Lineage: Eukaryota; Viridiplantae; Streptophyta; Magnoliopsida; Asparagales; Orchidaceae
Exons: 2
Source: RefSeq, a predicted model, not a curated record
UUUCAAGUGGGCAACCUAAAGGGGAAAUUACUCUUUUAAUAGAAGGUAAGGCGGAUUCUCCUUCUAAGGCCCCAUCUGAGGAUGAACUCGAGCAUGAACUGAGAGAUUUGAUAUCGAAGGGUCAUAGUAUUUCAACGAGGGAACAGCAGUGAAAAGAAAAGAUGUAUAUGCCCUUGCAUUAAGGUUAUUCGCAAAACCUGAUGAAACUGAGGAAUCUUCAAAUAGUUGAAACUCUGGCUGGUCUGGGCGAGAACCACAUGUUUAACUAAUCAGUUUUAGUGACCAUUUCUUUGCCUUUGAAGUAAAUUUGAAGCCUUUCUCAUCAAAUCAAAGCUGCUAUGGUCUCAAGGAGCACAAUGAAGAAGGCUAUGUUGAAAUUUGGAUAGGCAAUUAAGUUUUUUGAAUAUGUUGUAUAAGUCUAGAGUAAUAAAAUAGGAUAUUUUCUCUCAUGACAGUAAUGACAGGAAUUUUAUUACUAUGCACAGUUAAUAUUUUGAUGUCAUAAGAUGCUAUGCUAUGUUUUUUUU